UGGGGAAUUUUGGACAAUGGGCGCAAGCCUGAUCCAGCAAUGCCGCGUGCAGGAUGAAGGCCUUCGGGUUGUAAACUGCUUUUGUACGGAGCGAAAAGGUCUGCUCUAAUACGGUGGGCUCAUGACGGUACCGUAAGAAUAAGCACCGGCUAACUACGUGCCAGCAGCCGCGGUAAUACGUAGGGUGCGAGCGUUAAUCGGAAUUACUGGGCGUAAAGCGUGCGCAGGCGGUUAUAUAAGACAGAUGUGAAAUCCCCGGGCUUAACCUGGGAAGUGCAUUUGUAACUGCAAGGCUAGAGUGCGGCAGAGGGUGAUGGAAUUCCUCGUGGAGCAGUGAAAUGCGUAGAUAUGCGGAGGAACACCGAUGGCGAAGGCAAUCCCCUGGGCCUGAACUGACGCUCAUGCACGAAAGCAUGGGGAGCAAACA
Molecule: ribosomal RNA, 427 nt
Filed under: uncultured bacterium
Lineage: Bacteria
Description: bacterial SSU rRNA
Rfam family: Bacterial small subunit ribosomal RNA
Source: RNAcentral